Molecule: microRNA precursor, 75 nt
Filed under: Myotis davidii
Lineage: Eukaryota; Metazoa; Chordata; Mammalia; Chiroptera; Vespertilionidae
Description: mir-9193 microRNA precursor family
Rfam family: mir-9193 microRNA precursor family
Source: Rfam by way of RNAcentral
CUCGGGGAGAGGGGGCACCCUCAGCCUGGAUUCCAAGAGGGAGCAGGCCAGGCUGAGGGACCCCAUUGGUGCACG